This 520-nucleotide ribosomal RNA is filed under the name uncultured Glomus. RNAcentral describes it as "SSU rRNA". It matches the Rfam family "Eukaryotic small subunit ribosomal RNA", at positions 569 to 1089 of the family's 1831-position model. Lineage: Eukaryota; Fungi; Glomeromycota; Glomeromycetes; Glomerales; Glomeraceae. The record is from RNAcentral.
AGCAGCCGCGGUAAUUCCAGCUCCAAUAGCGUAUAUUAAAGUUGUUGCAGUUAAAAAGCUCGUAGUUGAAUUUCGGGGUCAGUAGAUUGGUCGUGCCACUGGUAUGUACUGGUCUUACUGGCUCCUCCUUCCUGAUGAACCGUAAUGCCAUUAAUUUGGUGUUGCGGGGAGACUGGACUUGUUACUUUGAAAAAAUUAGAGUGUUUAAAGCAGGCUAACGCUUGAAUACAUUAGCAUGGAAUAAUGAAAUAGGACGUUCGAUCUUAUUUUGUUGGUUUCUAGGAUUGACGUAAUGAUUAAUAGGGAUAGUUGGGGGCAUUAGUAUUCAAUUGUCAGAGGUGAAAUUCUUGGAUUUAUUGAAGACUAACUACUGCGAAAAGCAUUUGCCAAGGAUGUUUUCAUUAAUCAAGAACGAAAGUUAGGGGAUCGAAGACGAUCAGAUACCGUCGUAGUCUUAACCAUAAACUAUGCCGACUAGGGAUCGGAUGAUGUUAAUUUUUAAUGACUCAUUCGGCGCCUU